AGCUACUUUGCUUUGGGAGUGCCGUCUGGCCAGACUAAGGUCUGUUUUACUUUCCAACUUGUCCGGUGUGUUCCUUCCCAGGUGUUCUUCACUGCAGUCAGCUCCUCGGAGCAUUUGAUAAAUGGCAAGGAGAUUGAGCGCGUGGAUCUCAUCAGGGCCGGUAACACAGGAAGCAGGCGUGACGAAUAUGCAUGUGACGGAGUGUGGAAAUGAGAGGUGCCCCAGGGUGUGCAGCUGUGGCUCUCUGUGGGCAAGGUGAGCUCGUGGCUCUUUGGUGGAUGAGUGUUUCCUCAAGGGGAAAAGCAAAUGCAUUUGACCAUAAGUGCAAGUCAGUCAGGGCUCUCUGGGACAGCUCACCCACUUUUACA
RNAcentral lists this long non-coding RNA (368 nucleotides) under Heterocephalus glaber (naked mole-rat). RNAcentral describes it as "lncRNA (ENSHGLG00000046777.1)". The record is from RNAcentral. Lineage: Eukaryota; Metazoa; Chordata; Mammalia; Rodentia; Bathyergidae.